AGAGUUUGAUCCUGGCUCAGGACGAACGCUGGCGGCGUGCUUAACACAUGCAAGUCGAACGAUGAAACUAUGACGGAGGCUUCGGCCAACUGAGUGGUGGAUUAGUGGCGGACGGGUGAGUAACGCGUGAGUAACCUGCCUCUCAGAGAGGAAUAACAUUUGGAAACGAAUGGUAAUACCACAUAACAUUACGGGAUCGCAUGAUUCUGUAAUCAAAGAUUUUAUCGCUGAGAGAUGGACUCGCGUCCGAUUAGCUAGAUGGUGAGGUAACGGCUCACCAUGGCGACGAUCGGUAGCCGGACUGAGAGGUUGAACAGCCACACUGGGACUGAGAACGGCCCAGACUCCUACGGGAGGCAGCAGUAGAGAAUCUUCGGCAAUGGGGGGAACCCUGACCGAGCGAUACCGCGUGAUUGAAGAAAUACUUCGGUAUGUAAAAAUCUUUUACAAAGGAUGAAUGACCUUAGGAGGAAAUGCCUAAGGAGUGACAGUACUUUAGGAAUAAGCCCCGGCUAACUAUGUGCCAGCAGCCGCGGUAAUACAUAGGGGGCAAGCGUUAUCCGGAAUUAUUGGGCGUAAAGGGUACGCAGGCGGUCCUUUAAGUCAGAUGUGAAAUCUUACGGCUCAACCGUAAUUAGCAUUUGAAACUGGAGGACUUGAGUUAAGGAGAGGAAAGUGGAAUUCCUAGUGUAGCGGUGAAAUGCGUAGAUAUUAGGAGGAAUACCAGUGGCGAAGGCGACUUUCUGGACUUAUACUGACGCUGAGGUACGAAAGCGUGGGGAGCAAACAGGAUUAGAUACCCUGGUAGUCCAC
RNAcentral lists this ribosomal RNA (813 nucleotides) under uncultured bacterium. RNAcentral describes it as "bacterial SSU rRNA". It matches the Rfam family "Bacterial small subunit ribosomal RNA", at positions 8 to 798 of the family's 1533-position model. The record is from RNAcentral.